This 496-nucleotide ribosomal RNA is filed under the name uncultured bacterium. RNAcentral's name for it is "partial 16S ribosomal RNA". It matches the Rfam family "Bacterial small subunit ribosomal RNA", at positions 29 to 507 of the family's 1533-position model. The record is from RNAcentral.
AUGAACGCUGGCGGCGUGCCUAAUACAUGCAAGUCGAGCGAACGGACGAGUAGCUUGCUUCUCUGAUGUUAGCGGCGGACGGGUGAGUAACACGUGGAUAACCUACCUAUAAGACUGGGAUAACUUCGGGAAACCGGAGCUAAUACCGGAUAAUAUUUUGAACCGCAUGGUUCAAAAGUGAAAGACGGUCUUGCUGUCACUUAUAGAUGGAUCCGCGCUGCAUUAGCUAGUUGGUAAGGUAACGGCUUACCAAGGCAACGAUGCAUAGCCGACCUGAGAGGGUGAUCGGCCACACUGGAACUGAGACACGGUCCAGACUCCUACGGGAGGCAGCAGUAGGGAAUCUUCCGCAAUGGGCGAAAGCCUGACGGAGCAACGCCGCGUGAGUGAUGAAGGUCUUCGGAUCGUAAAACUCUGUUAUUAGGGAAGAACAUAUGUGUAAGUAACUGUGCACAUCUUGACGGUACCUAAUCAGAAAGCCACGGCUAACUACGUG